UUGGAGGGCAAGUCUGGUGCCAGCAGCCGCGGUAAUUCCAGCUCCAAUAGCGUAUAUUAAAGUUGUUGCAGUUAAAAAGCUCGUAGUUGAAUUUCGGGGUUAGUAGGCUGGUCAUGCCUUUGGUAUGUACUGAUAUUAUUGGUUUCUCACCUUCUAAAGAACCGUAAUGCCAUUAAUUUGGUGUGACGGGGAAUUUGGACUGUUACUUUGAAAAAAUUAGAGUGUUUAAAGCAAGCUAACGCUUGAAUACAUUAGCAUGGAAUAAUGAAAUAGGACGUUUGAUUCUAUUUUGUUGGUUUCUAGGAUCGACGUAAUGAUUAAUAGGGAUAGUUGGGGGCAUUAGUAUUCAAUUGUCAGAGGUGAAAUUCUUGGAUUUAUUGAAGACUAGCUACUGCGAAAGCAUUUGCCAAGGAUGUUUUCAUUAAUCAAGAACGAAAGUUAGGGGAUCGAAGACGAUCAGAUACCGUCGUAGUCUUAACCAUAAACUAUGCCGACUAGGGAUCGGAUGAUGUUAAUUUUAUAAUGACUCAUUCGGCGCCUUACGGGAAAC
Molecule: ribosomal RNA, 550 nt
Filed under: uncultured Glomus
Lineage: Eukaryota; Fungi; Glomeromycota; Glomeromycetes; Glomerales; Glomeraceae
Description: SSU rRNA
Rfam family: Eukaryotic small subunit ribosomal RNA
Source: RNAcentral